GAUGAACGCUGGCGGCGUGCCUAAUACAUGCAAGUCGAGCGAACAGACGAGGAGCUUGCUCCUCUGACGUUAGCGGCGGACGGGUGAGUAACACGUGGAUAACCUACCUAUAAGACUGGGAUAACUUCGGGAAACCGGAGCUAAUACCGGAUAACAUGUUGAACCGCAUGGUUCAACAGUGAAAGACGGUCUUGCUGUCACUUAUAGAUGGAUCCGCGCCACAUUAGCUAGUUGGUAAGGUAACGGCUUACCAAGGCAACGAUGCGUAGCCGACCUGAGAGGGUGAUCGGCCACACUGGAACUGAGACACGGUCCAGACUCCUACGGGAGGCAGCAGUAGGGAAUCUUCCGCAAUGGGCGAAAGCCUGACGGAGCAACGCCGCGUGAGUGAAGAAGGUCUUCGGAUCGUAAAACUCUGUUAUUAGGGAAGAACAAAUGUGUAAGUAACUAUGCACGUCUUGACGGUACCUAAUCAGAAAGCCACGGCUAACUACGUG
This 497-nucleotide ribosomal RNA is filed under the name uncultured bacterium. Its description in RNAcentral is "partial 16S ribosomal RNA". It matches the Rfam family "Bacterial small subunit ribosomal RNA", at positions 28 to 507 of the family's 1533-position model. The record is from RNAcentral.